CCCGCUCAGAAACUACAAAGGAAUUGACGGGGACCCGCACAAGCAGCGGAGCAUGUGGUUUAAUUCGAAGCAACGCGAAGAACCUUACCAGAUCUUGACAUCCAAUUGACCAUCUUUUAAUCGAGAUUUUGCCUUCGGGUACAAUUGAGACAGGUGCUGCAUGGCUGUCGUCAGCUCGUGUCGUGAGAUGUUGGGUUAAGUCCCGCAACGAGCGCAACCCUUGCCUUUAGUUGCCAGCAGUUCGGCUGGGCACUCUAAAGGGACUGCCGGUGUUAAACCGGAGGAAGGUGGGGAUGACGUCAAAUCAUCAUGCCCCUUAUGACCUGGGCUACAAACGUGAUACAAUGGCUGGAACAAAGGGAUGCGAAGCAGUGAUGUGGAGCGAAACCCAUAAAAACAGUCUCAGUUCGGAUUGAAGUCUGCAACUCGACUUCAUGAAGUCGGAAUCGCUAGUAAUCGCGGAUCAGAACGCCGCGGUGAAUACGUUCUCGGGGUUU
Molecule: ribosomal RNA, 497 nt
Filed under: uncultured bacterium
Lineage: Bacteria
Description: bacterial SSU rRNA
Rfam family: Bacterial small subunit ribosomal RNA
Source: RNAcentral